RNAcentral lists this long non-coding RNA (772 nucleotides) under Polistes fuscatus (common paper wasp). Its description in RNAcentral is "uncharacterized LOC122523469". Lineage: Eukaryota; Metazoa; Arthropoda; Insecta; Hymenoptera; Vespidae. The record is from RNAcentral.
AAUAAAAAAAUGAAAUAAAAAAAAAGUAAAUGAAAAUACUUCAUAUCGCUGAAUAUGUUAUUUGUUUAUUCUUGUAGAGAACGUUUCUUCGAUUGUCCGCGGAAUAAUAAUUCGUGCAACAGUGUAUGCGAUUCUUCAUUUUUACAUACGUGCGUUGCAUACACGCGAUAAACGCAUUUAUCUACAUUCAUGCAGGUGUCUACUUGUAUGCAUUGAGCGCGCGUAAAAUGAAAUUUCAUUGUAUAUAAUCUAAACACAUAUACACAUGCGUUUCUCCUGCAUAUUCCUUGAAGAAAAGUCACAUAAACAUGUCUAUAAUUGUAAAGCUUAUCAAAUUACAAUCGUUCAAGUUAACGUUAAUAGAAAAUAUUCUUUUUAUAAAAUAAAAUUAACGUAACAGAAAAAAAUAAAGUGAAAAUCGGAGCAUUUGAUCUACAGGAAGAUGAUUUUACGAAGGCUUUUAAGAGGGGCCUGAUUCGGACUCAUGUGAUUGGUGGUCCGAGCAUGUCACGUGGCGGUAGUUUACGUGGGUGGGGGCCGGAGACGCGGCACCGCGGGCGAAAGCGGUGAGUUUCGUUCUAGUAUUUACCUCGCAGUGCGAAGAUACUUUACUCGCGGUUGUUCUAGUGUAUUCUAUAAGCUGAUCUGUGGGUUCUGUGAAUCAGCGUUACCAAAAUGGCCGUCGAUGUCGGGUUCGAUCAUCGAACGUACAAGCUUUGAUAAAACAUCGAAGAGAUUGGGGGCUGUCGAUAAACGUAAAUUCUUAUAAAAA